RNAcentral lists this transfer RNA (70 nucleotides) under Ovis aries (sheep). It matches the Rfam family "tRNA". Rfam says of the family: Transfer RNA (tRNA) molecules are approximately 80 nucleotides in length. The record is from Rfam by way of RNAcentral. Lineage: Eukaryota; Metazoa; Chordata; Mammalia; Artiodactyla; Bovidae.
UCUGGUGGCUCAGAUGGUAGAGAAUCUGCCUGUAAUGCAGGAGACCCAGGUUUGACCCCUGGAUCCAGAA